Papaver somniferum (opium poppy) is the source of this 1327-nucleotide long non-coding RNA. RefSeq lists it as uncharacterized. The transcript is spliced from 2 exons. The record is from RefSeq and is a predicted model, not a curated record. NCBI's taxonomy places the organism in Eukaryota, Viridiplantae, Streptophyta, Magnoliopsida, Ranunculales, Papaveraceae.
GCAUAAAUUUCAAUUUCUCGGUUUUGGAUUAAUUGGGGCAAUGCUUAGGAAUGUUUUCUUUUGGACCCGAAAGUAAGUUAUAAACUUUCGGAUCAGGUGUUGGGUAAUUUCGGUUGUUGGACCAUGGACGUAAGUUAGUCAUUCACCUAUAAGAAUCAAGUUAAAACGGUUCGAUAACAUCUUGCAAGUUUUUUCUAAACUUCGAGGCUAAAGUGAUCUUUCGCAUAUGAGUUUUCUAAAAAAAAUUAAAAUCCUUUGUGAUAUGGAAACAUCUCGAUUUUGGAAACGUGGUGGGUUUCUUGAUCAGCUUCCUCUGUCCUUUGGAUAAGUCCGUGAUUAGUCUGUUUAAGUUUAUGUUACAGUAGGAAUGAAAGUUAGUUUUUCAAAAAUUGGGAUCCAGUUCGAUCUUAUGGCAUAGGUGCAUAUUUCGAGUUUUUUCCUCUAGUCGUUUAAUUUCUGUUUAGAUUAUGCUGUCUCCACCUAUUUUCUCCUUCUAUCGUUUCAGUAUUGCUGGUGGGGUUUCACAAAUCUUGCUUUUGCCUUUAAAUAUAUUAGUUUCUAGUUUUGAUCAUAAUAAUUACUAGGCUCUUCUUUCAUCUUGAUUUGAUAACCGAUGCUUUCUGUUUGUGACCUAGAUUUCACUAAACAGGAGGAUCCCUUUAUGGUGUUUUCUUUCAGUAAUAAUUUCUUAAAAAAAAAAGGAUUUUUGUGGUUGCAAUUAUCGGAACAUUUCUACGGUAUCCCCCGCCCCCCAGAAUACUGGUUCUAUUUAAUCUAUUCCGGCUCAAAAAGAUCAAUUUGUUCGAUAUCCGCUACUCUUACAGAAAAUAGCUAAGAGAAUCGAGACAGGAACCUUCAAAGGAGCUGAAUCAGGCAUCUUCAGGACUUCCACUGAUGAAGAAGCAGAAGCUCUAGUUCUCCUUCAAGCAGUUAAAUGGGCCAAACUACAUAACAUACAACAUCUGGUCAUAGAAGGAGAUAACAGGGCAGCAAUUAGGUAUUUACAGGGAAAUGAAUCAACUAUCCAAUAGCAAAGCAUUGCAAUUCUAGAAGAAGUUAAGAAGCUAGUAGAACAAAUGGUCUCUUUUUUGGGUUUCCAAUACGUAGACAGACGAGCAAACAAAGUGGCAGACCAAUUGGCAAAGAAAUGAAGAAAAAGUACCACUGCAAUUUCUUGGUUAGACCAAGCUCCCUUACUUUUAAUUCCAACAAUUGCUUUUGACACUGUUAAAGCUUAUGAAUCUUGUAAUAUAAGUACAAACCUUGUACCAGUUCAAAAUGAGGCUAAUCAAUCAUUAGCGGGACAACUCUAUCUGAGCUCGCUCCU